Molecule: ribosomal RNA, 1554 nt
Filed under: Salmonella enterica subsp. enterica serovar Fresno
Lineage: Bacteria; Pseudomonadati; Pseudomonadota; Gammaproteobacteria; Enterobacterales; Enterobacteriaceae
Description: bacterial SSU rRNA
Rfam family: Bacterial small subunit ribosomal RNA
Source: RNAcentral
AAAUUGAAGAGUUUGAUCAUGGCUCAGAUUGAACGCUGGCGGCAGGCCUAACACAUGCAAGUCGAACGGUAACAGGAAGCAGCUUGCUGCUUCGCUGACGAGUGGCGGACGGGUGAGUAAUGUCUGGGAAACUGCCUGAUGGAGGGGGAUAACUACUGGAAACGGUGGCUAAUACCGCAUAACGUCGCAAGACCAAAGAGGGGGACCUUCGGGCCUCUUGCCAUCAGAUGUGCCCAGAUGGGAUUAGCUUGUUGGUGAGGUAACGGCUCACCAAGGCGACGAUCCCUAGCUGGUCUGAGAGGAUGACCAGCCACACUGGAACUGAGACACGGUCCAGACUCCUACGGGAGGCAGCAGUGGGGAAUAUUGCACAAUGGGCGCAAGCCUGAUGCAGCCAUGCCGCGUGUAUGAAGAAGGCCUUCGGGUUGUAAAGUACUUUCAGCGGGGAGGAAGGUGUUGUGGUUAAUAACCGCAGCAAUUGACGUUACCCGCAGAAGAAGCACCGGCUAACUCCGUGCCAGCAGCCGCGGUAAUACGGAGGGUGCAAGCGUUAAUCGGAAUUACUGGGCGUAAAGCGCACGCAGGCGGUCUGUCAAGUCGGAUGUGAAAUCCCCGGGCUCAACCUGGGAACUGCAUUCGAAACUGGCAGGCUUGAGUCUUGUAGAGGGGGGUAGAAUUCCAGGUGUAGCGGUGAAAUGCGUAGAGAUCUGGAGGAAUACCGGUGGCGAAGGCGGCCCCCUGGACAAAGACUGACGCUCAGGUGCGAAAGCGUGGGGAGCAAACAGGAUUAGAUACCCUGGUAGUCCACGCCGUAAACGAUGUCUACUUGGAGGUUGUGCCCUUGAGGCGUGGCUUCCGGAGCUAACGCGUUAAGUAGACCGCCUGGGGAGUACGGCCGCAAGGUUAAAACUCAAAUGAAUUGACGGGGGCCCGCACAAGCGGUGGAGCAUGUGGUUUAAUUCGAUGCAACGCGAAGAACCUUACCUGGUCUUGACAUCCACGGAAGUUUUCAGAGAUGAGAAUGUGCCUUCGGGAACCGUGAGACAGGUGCUGCAUGGCUGUCGUCAGCUCGUGUUGUGAAAUGUUGGGUUAAGUCCCGCAACGAGCGCAACCCUUAUCCUUUGUUGCCAGCGGUCCGGCCGGGAACUCAAAGGAGACUGCCAGUGAUAAACUGGAGGAAGGUGGGGAUGACGUCAAGUCAUCAUGGCCCUUACGACCAGGGCUACACACGUGCUACAAUGGCGCAUACAAAGAGAAGCGACCUCGCGAGAGCAAGCGGACCUCAUAAAGUGCGUCGUAGUCCGGAUUGGAGUCUGCAACUCGACUCCAUGAAGUCGGAAUCGCUAGUAAUCGUGGAUCAGAAUGCCACGGUGAAUACGUUCCCGGGCCUUGUACACACCGCCCGUCACACCAUGGGAGUGGGUUGCAAAAGAAGUAGGUAGCUUAACCUUCGGGAGGGCGCUUACCACUUUGUGAUUCAUGACUGGGGUGAAGUCGUAACAAGGUAACCGUAGGGGAACCUGCGGUUGGAUCACCUCCUUACCUGAAAGAAGC